This is a long non-coding RNA of Dreissena polymorpha, 3061 nucleotides long. RefSeq lists it as uncharacterized. The transcript is spliced from 11 exons. Lineage: Eukaryota; Metazoa; Mollusca; Bivalvia; Myida; Dreissenidae. The record is from RefSeq and is a predicted model, not a curated record.
UGAUGUUACUCUGUUUUGCAGUAGACAAGUGUGCUGUGAGUCCCACAGGAGACAGGCUGUACAUCACCAGCUUCUGGUACAACAAUCUUCUCACCCUGGCCAGGGAUGGCACACUCCUGGCUACAUACACAGACCCAGCACUACGUGGCCCACUUGGUCUACAUGUGACCCCUGCAGGCCAGGUGCUGGUCUGUGGACGCAGGUCCGACACUGUACUACAGGUGGGCUCGGAGGGAGAGAGUAAGCUGGCUAAUCUUGCUACUGUGAAGGAUGGAGUGUGGGGGCCAUUGUCAGUCUGCUACAGCAGCACCACAUCAUCCAUCAUUGUGGGACAGUGGGACGACACCAUCCUGGUGUUCAGAGUGGAAUAGUGUGUACAUUCGCUGCCGAGUCAGGACAAGGAUGCUGAGGAUGUGGUGGACAAGGAUGACCUGAAUACACAGAAGGAGAGCACCAGCAUUGAUAUGUAGUUAGCCCAGCAACAGCUCCAGUCCGGCCUGCAGGAGCUCCAGUCCAGGGCGACCCUUCUUCUCUCCUGACCCCAAGCUACUCCCCUAGACCUCCGGCCUCAAAGGGUCAGCAGUGUUUAACAAUUCCGUUCUGCAGGAAAUUCUGAGCACAUCGAGAUUUCAUGUGCUGUUCUCAACUACCGCUAUGUCCGUGUCGAGUUUCCCACACUUGCAUCUGAGUAGUUUUGUUUAGCUGGAGUGCCUGAGUGGGACGAGUGCUAAAGACACCAGGAGUUAUAGCAGUAGUUUUGGUAACGCUAACAGUCAGUUCUCGAUGUUGGACAUCACGAAGAAUGACCAGUUAAAUAACAUGUUCCAUUUUUUUAUGGGACGAACAGAAAUUCAGCAAAGAAUUUGAGAAAAUCAAGAAACAAUUCAAGCCAUAAAUUCAACAGUGUUACCUUGCCAAGGGGAAUACUUUUGAUGUUGAUAGUGCGGGCAACAGUAGCUGUGCGGACUUUCACGGUUUGUCCUUUCAGGGGAAAAAGUGUCCUAAGAGAAUGCGCUUUUGACGCUAAUGCUGACAAAGGCAGUAAUGACUAGGUUGUGAACAUACAGAACACGAUACAUCAAUGGGGUGUGUUCUUCUGGCGCGAAAUCCGCGAAAUAUUGGAAACACUCUGCUAAAAGCGAACAAGUGCGUUUUGUUACGAGAACUUGAAACUCUGAACCCAAAGGGCAUCGUAUUGAUUCGAGGCUAAAGAAGGCCUUGAAAUAUGACAGCAUUUUUGUUGUAUGAUCCAGUGCGCCAUUCGACGCUCAACCGAAGUUAAUCAGAACUCAAACUCAAUCCUUAACAAUAUCAGUGAGGCCAGCGUGUCAUCUCAGCUUGUUGAGCUUCAGCAAACAUGAGCCCACAAGACAAACAUUAUUGUACAAUCCCGACCCCCUUUUGCAAAAAUAUUACAACUCUCUCAAGAAAUUCAGCACGAAAUCCUCUUGUGUCAGCCUUACAUGCUUCCUAUCAAGAUAUUUUCCCAUGUUUGCUUCAUCAACACUUCCAACAGCGGAUCCUUGGUAAUUUAGACUUCCGUUCCAGCGUGGAUGGGGCUUAGCAAUAAAUUGAUGCUGGGCAACGGCAAAUUGUUCGGGGCGAGUCGCUCGAACGGAAACGAUCUGACCCAACAGAUAGCUUAUAGUGAUGUGUCCAUUAAUGUGACUGACCUCGAUAUGUUGCUUUUAAAUAAUGCGAACCUUACACCAGAAGAACAGUCUGCAAGCAAUUUAGGCCAUUUAACAACCGUUGUUGUCUGGAAUUCACGGCUUUGGGUUGACGAAUUUGGCGUCAGGACUUGCUCUAUCUCUGUCUACGGCAGCAGCAGCAGAAACAACAAAAAAAACAGAUUGGUAACCAGCUGUACAACAGGCUCUCUUGCCAGCUGGGCCCAGACACCCAGGGACACUUCCUUCACAUGGGUGGUGGUGGGUGGCUCUCGGCGAAGGACUUUUGGGCAGUUCAACGUGUCCUACUCGCAGAGUGCAGCCAAUCUAAACAUGGGGCUCCACAUUUUCCUGGUCAAGAUUACCUUAUCCAAAUAGUAGAUUGAAGCCUUAUCCUCAAAAGUUCAGGUCCAAAGAAAGAUGGUGACCAACUGCAACUCAGCCACUUCAUCUCAAUAGUGAACAAGGCACCCUUCCUAAACCCUCGCCGACUGCGCUAAAUGGGAACCUUAAUAUACAUGAGAUUCCAGGCGGAAUGUAAAAUCUGUACCACUCUGAUCUCCAGUAGCAGCCCCAGCCGCGGGAGGCCGAUUCAUGAUGCACCUAUGGCCUUAAUUAUCUCUGAACAUCCCAACCUCACAUGACCUGUAGGGCGGGGAUGUAUAUAAAUGAUCAUUAAAUCCCACAAACCAAGGAGAGGUUAUAUUGGAGUCAAUUUUAUGGGAAGGGGGGUUAACUAAACGUGUGCCCACAGUUGCACAGAGCCGUUGGUUCAUGUUCAGUGUCAAGCAGUAUCCUAGCAAUCAAGUCAAGUCAGCGCAGCAGCAACAACAGAUGCAGCAGCAGUCGUACGCAAUACAUCAACAACACUGGUGCAUAUGCAUUAAACUAUAAAGAAGAAAACCGGAUAACAAAGCGUUGAUUUUGUUCUGGAUGCAUUAGCAGUCACAGUACAUGAACCGACAGUAGUCAUCUUCUCGAGAUUCUGGCCUCUGAACCAUCAGUCUAUGAACAUAAUGCAGAGCAAUCUAGGGACGCCAAUUGACGAAAUCAAACUGACCAAUCAGCAACAAAGCCUGUUGCAGCAGUUGUUACCAUAUUGACCCCAGUCAAAUCAUGGAAGCUUAGACAUAAAUACUGUUUAAGAUGUGCCAGUCUCUACAGACCUCGUGGUCUGUUAAGCACUUACUCUGACAGGUGUCAUCUUUGGAUUUUGUGACAGGUGGAAAAUGAAUAACCUUGUUCAGAUUGAAAUGGCAGAAUGAAAAAGCACAAUUCACGCGAAAAGCCAUAUAUUAAUUUGACCAGCCAUGGUUUGUUGGAAGAAAAACAAUCUGUCAUGUAUUAUGGAAACUUUGAUGCUGUCAGUCAUUAACAAUUGAUGAGAUAUG